This is a Y RNA of Callithrix jacchus (white-tufted-ear marmoset), 107 nucleotides long. It matches the Rfam family "Y RNA". From Rfam's summary of the family: Y RNAs are components of the Ro ribonucleoprotein particle (Ro RNP), in association with Ro60 and La proteins. The Y RNAs and Ro60 and La proteins are well conserved, but the function of the Ro RNP is not known. In humans the RNA component can be one of four small RNAs -- hY1, hY3, hY4 and hY5. The record is from Ensembl. Lineage: Eukaryota; Metazoa; Chordata; Mammalia; Primates; Cebidae.
GGCUGGUCCAAAGGUAGUGAGUUAUCUCAAUUGAUUUUUGAGUUAUAGAUCAAACUCCUUUUUCUGCUUUAUUCUCCCUUCUCACUACUACACUUGACUAGUCUAAA